UAUUACCAUAACUAAGCAGAAAAACGUCCCCUAUCCUGUACUGUUAUUGCCAUUCCUAUUUCUAAAGAUGAACUCGAGAGCCAUUCUUGUCGUGCUAUGUCUGUUCUCGCUGAUGAUUGCAGAGCACUCUGUCCAAGGCCAAGGUUCUUGUUGGACACAUGCUGGGUGCGGACGAUGCAAAGUGCGAUGCACAAACAGAGGAUUUCGUCGUGGAUACUGUAAAUACUCUGCGACUAAGUGCCCUGUAGGAAGGCAUUGGAAUUGCACAUGUUGGAACUAACUUGAUUUAUGUAAACAAAACCUGAAUCAAUCUAUACAAUAAAGUGAAAGUAAUGCAGAUAUCAUAAUAA
Molecule: long non-coding RNA, 350 nt
Organism: Ostrea edulis (European flat oyster)
Lineage: Eukaryota; Metazoa; Mollusca; Bivalvia; Ostreida; Ostreidae
Exons: 2
Source: RefSeq, a predicted model, not a curated record